AUUGAACGCUGGCGGCAUGCUUUACACAUGCAAGUCGAACGGCAGCGGGGUAGUGCUUGCACUACUGCCGGCGAGUGGCGAACGGGUGAGUAAUAUAUCGGAACGUACCGAGUAAUGGGGGAUAACCAAUCGAAAGAUUGGCUAAUACCGCAUACGUCCUGAGGGAGAAAGCGGGGGAUCGCAAGACCUCGCGUUAUUCGAGCGGCCGAUAACUGAUUAGCUAGUUGGUGGGGUAAAGGCCUACCAAGGCGACGAUCAGUAGCGGGUCUGAGAGGACGAUUCGGCACCCUGGGGCUGGGGCCCGGCCCCGACUUCCAAGGGAAGGCGCAGGGGGGAAAUUUGGACAAAUGGGGGAAACCUUAUCCCGGCAAGGCGGGGGGAAUAAAGAAGGCUUCCGGUUUGUAAAUUCCUUUGGUUGGGAAGAAAAGGGAAAGGCCAAUAACCCUUUUUGCUGACGGUACCUAAAGAAUAAGCACCGGCUAACUACGUG
RNAcentral lists this ribosomal RNA (490 nucleotides) under uncultured bacterium. Its description in RNAcentral is "partial 16S ribosomal RNA". It matches the Rfam family "Bacterial small subunit ribosomal RNA", at positions 30 to 507 of the family's 1533-position model. The record is from RNAcentral.